AUUGAACGCUGGCGGAAUGCUUUACACAUGCAAGUCGAACGGCAGCACGGACUUCGGUCUGGUGGCGAGUGGCGAACGGGUGAGUAAUGUAUCGGAACGUGCCCAGUCGUGGGGGAUAACGUAGUGAAAAUUACGCUAAUACCGCAUACGAUCUAUGGAUGAAAGCGGGGGAUCGCAAGACCUCGCCCGAUUGGAGCGGCCGAUAUCAGAUUAGGUAGUUGGUGGGGUAAAGGCCCACCAAGCCAACGAUCUGUAGCUGGUCUGAGAGGACGACCAGCCACACUGGAACUGAGACACGGUCCAGACUCCUACGGGAGGCAGCAGUGGGGAAUUUUGGACAAUGGGCGAAAGCCUGAUUCAGCCAUUCCGCGUGCAGGAUGAAGGCCCUCGGGUUGUAAACUGCUUUUGUACAGAACGAAAAGGUUUCUACUAAUACUAGGAGCUCAUGACGGUACUGUAAGAAUAAGCACCGGCUAACUACGCGCCAGCAGCCGCGGUAA
This 500-nucleotide ribosomal RNA is filed under the name uncultured bacterium. RNAcentral describes it as "partial 16S ribosomal RNA". It matches the Rfam family "Bacterial small subunit ribosomal RNA", at positions 30 to 523 of the family's 1533-position model. The record is from RNAcentral.